AGUGAACGCUGGCGGUAGGCCUAACACAUGCAAGUCGAACGGCAGCACAGUAAGAGCUUGCUCUUACGGGUGGCGAGUGGCGGACGGGUGAGGAAUACAUCGGAAUCUACUUUUUCGUGGGGGAUAACGUAGGGAAACUUACGCUAAUACCGCAUACGACCUACGGGUGAAAGCAGGGGAUCUUCGGACCUUGCGCGAUUGAAUGAGCCGAUGUCGGAUUAGCUAGUUGGCGGGGUAAAGGCCCACCAAGGCGACGAUCCGUAGCUGGUCUGAGAGGAUGAUCAGCACCACUGGAACUGAGACACGGUCCGGACCCCUACGGGAGGAAGCAGUGGGAAAUAUUGGACAAUGGGGGCAAGCCUGAUCCAGCCAUACCGCGUGGGUGAAGAAGGCCUUCGGUUUGUAAAGCCCUUUUGUUGGGAAAGAAAAGCAGCAGGUUAAUACCCCGCUGUUCUGACGGAACCCAAAGAAUAAGCACCGGCUAACUUCGU
This 491-nucleotide ribosomal RNA is filed under the name uncultured bacterium. RNAcentral describes it as "partial 16S ribosomal RNA". It matches the Rfam family "Bacterial small subunit ribosomal RNA", at positions 29 to 506 of the family's 1533-position model. The record is from RNAcentral.